This 482-nucleotide ribosomal RNA is filed under the name uncultured bacterium. Its description in RNAcentral is "partial 16S ribosomal RNA". It matches the Rfam family "Bacterial small subunit ribosomal RNA", at positions 30 to 507 of the family's 1533-position model. The record is from RNAcentral.
AUUGAACGCUGGCGGCAUGCCUUACACAUGCAAGUCGAACGGUAACGGGCCUUCGGGUGCCGACGAGUGGCGAACGGGUGCGUAAUACAUCGGAACGUGCCCGAUCGUGGGGGAUAACGAGGCGAAAGCUUUGCUAAUACCGCAUACGAUCUACGGAUGAAAGCAGGGGACCGCAAGGCCUUGCGCGGACGGAGCGGCCGAUGGCAGAUUAGGUAGUUGGUGGGAUAAAAGCUUACCAAGCCGACGAUCUGUAGCUGGUCUGAGAGGAUGAUCAGCCACACUGGGACUGAGACACGGCCCAGACUCCUACGGGAGGCAGCAGUGGGGAAUUUUGGACAAUGGGCACAAGCCUGAUCCAGCCAUGCCGCGUGCAGGAUGAAGGCCUUCGGGUUGUAAACUGCUUUUGUACGGAACGAAAAGCCUUCUUUUAAUACAGGAGGGUCAUGACGGUACCGUAAGAAUAAGCACCGGCUAACUACGUG